GCAGGGUGUGGUGGGGCAUGCCUGUAAUCCCAACAAUUUGGGAGGCUGAGGCAGAAGGAUUGCAAGUUCAAGACCAGCCUCAUCAAUUUAGCAAGGUCCUUAGCAACUUAGUGAGACCCUGUCUCAA
RNAcentral lists this small RNA (127 nucleotides) under Marmota monax (woodchuck). Lineage: Eukaryota; Metazoa; Chordata; Mammalia; Rodentia; Sciuridae. The record is from RNAcentral.